This 24-nucleotide small RNA is filed under the name Arabidopsis thaliana (thale cress). Its description in RNAcentral is "ATSL102020". Lineage: Eukaryota; Viridiplantae; Streptophyta; Magnoliopsida; Brassicales; Brassicaceae. The record is from RNAcentral.
UUUUUUCUUCUUCUUCUCUCUAAA